Long non-coding RNA from Contarinia nasturtii (swede midge), 10156 nucleotides. RefSeq lists it as uncharacterized. The record is from RefSeq and is a predicted model, not a curated record. The transcript has 4 exons. Lineage: Eukaryota; Metazoa; Arthropoda; Insecta; Diptera; Cecidomyiidae.
UAAUUAAAAAAUAACUAUUUAUUUAUGUUUUAGAUGAAUCUGGAAAAUUGUUAUUUAACUUAUAAGCGUGUGUCCAAGUCAUAGCAUAAUAUCCUUGUUCCGAUUGGCUGUAUUUGACUUAAGUUUGUUAUCAGUUCAUUUGACUGACAUUUGGCUAAUUGGUUCAGUUCUUCUUUUUUUUCAGACAAAGCGCAUACUAUUGAAUAUUGUAAUAUAUCUGGUGUGCCCUGAUUGCAUUCCAUUCCCCUUCACCCCUCAUUUCUUCGUUCAUUUAAUUCUCUCGAUUUCUGUUUUUAUUUUGAAUUUUCAAAUAAAUUUACCUAGAUCAAGAAAAGAAAAUGUACAAGGUGCAAUCGUUUAAAUUGUUAACAUAGGACAUAUUUUAGAUGAGAGAUAAACAAUGUUUUUUUUAGAUUAUUAUGUUAAAAUAACGUAAAUUGUAGCAAAUGACAAAUGAAUUUACCGAACAAUUGAAAAGAUCUCAUGUAAAUCGUUAAGGGAAUGUAAAACACAAAGAUUAGACUAUGAAAACAAAAAAAAAAUAUUUGCUGCGCCAAAAGCAUAAAUAACACGAACGUAACGAAAUAAAACCAAAACAAAACUAACAAAGAAGAAAGAAAUUUAAAAAAAACCCUAUAUAAGAUUUAUGUUUAAGUGUAUUUAAAUGUUUGAAAGUGAAAUUGAAGCAAAUAUUCUCAGACAUGGACAGAAUUAUUUUCUUCGUGUAUAUUCAUUUUGAAUUGAUCUCACAUUUGAUUUUUGCGUUCGUCCGGCAUCAACAAGCAGAUAAACAAUAACAACAAUCUAUUUAUAAAUGUAUUUUUUAUUGUUGUAUUUUCAAUAUUAGCAAUGAGUAACAAAAAAAAACAACAAUCGGUGAUAUUUUUCUUUUAUGGAUGGAUAUGCAUAGGAAAUUUAAAAUGAUAAAAAAUUAUACACAUAUACAUUUUCAUAUGGAACAAAGUUGUUCAAUUGUUAGCACCCGGUAUUUUCCAACAUAACAAACAACAACAAAUGUGUAAGACAAAUAUCGUUUUCCUCAUCGAUAAUAUCGAGAGAAUGAAAGAGAGAGGGGGCGAGAGAAGAAAAAGUUUAAAUAACGCCAUUUUAAUCGGUAUAUACAUUUAAUCGAUUGCAAGUGACUGAAGACUUCGACAAAAUAAUUCAAUUUGUAAAAAAACCAAAUUUUUUUUUUUGGAUGACGAAAAAUAAUACAAACAAAAACACACACACAAACAACACAUUUUGAAUAACAGUUAUUAAUGUGAAUUAUUGAGUGAUUUCUUUUUGAACACUUUUUGUACUGCUUGUGUGCUUUCAUUCUCUUUCUUUUGGUUUUUGAUUUAAUGAAAGAAGCUUGGUCAGUUUUGUUUUUGUAAAACUUUUGAGAAAAUAAUAAAUUUAUAAAAACACAAAUAAAAUGACUAACAAAACAUGAUGGAAAUACUUUACCUGUAUAUAAAUCGAACAGCAAAUGAGUACAACCAAAAUCCAGAUGAACAUUUUAAAUAUUAAGUUUUGAAGAACACGAAUGCCAACAUAAAAAACACAUCCAUAAAGACACACGAACAACAUCGAUAUCGAGCAUUUAGAUGAGUAUCCGACAAUUAUUUUAACCCAAAGAAGAUGAAAAAAACAAAACAAGGAUAAAACUAAUACUUUAAUUAUAAUAAUACAAAGAUAUGAACUGCCAAUAAUAAACAAACAAAGACACAUUAUUGAAACAUUAUUAUAACGUAAAUAGUCUAAAUUUCGAACAAAGAACAACAACUGAACGCUAUGAAAACAACAAAAAAAAAAUUAUAUAUUUGAAUUUAACAAGAAACAUUUAAGAAACAAAAAUAAAAAAUAAAAAAAAACAUUUAAACUGAUGCAGACAUGAUUGACGAAGCACAAAAUAGAUUAAUUAAAUAGAAUUAGAUUCUAUUAUUAUUGUAAUUAACUACUGAUAGACAUAUUAAAACCAAGCCAAGUAAAAGAAAACCACUGAACGAACAGAUAACACAAAGAAAACUGAAUAGGAGCGAACACAAUAACAAACGAACGGACGCAAUAUAUAGCCAAUAUAAACCCCUUAACAAUGAAAUAUAUGUAUACAUAUUUCGAAAAUGCGUGUUGUUGAUCGAUCACUUUGUUUUGUGAACCUGAGCUCCUUUUGGUUGAAAAUCAUCAUUAUCGUUUGAAAUCUAGAAUAAUUAAAAAAACAAACUUCUUCGACAUAAAACACCAACAACAAUUCAAAAUAAUGGCAAAGUAUCAAAACCAAAACAAAAAUGGAAUGUUGUCAAACAAAUCGCCAUCACCGUGACAGAACUAUCCGCAUUAUUCGUUUCAUCGAUCGAAUUUGAUGCACAAAUACACUUGUGUUUUUCUUCUUCGAUUUCCGAUUACACCUUUUGCUAUGUGUUAUUUGAAUCUUAUAGUCGAUUUAUUGGAAAACAUUUUCCAAACUAACUAUCGCACAAGCUGCACAAAUUUCUUCGGGUUUUUGUUUUUAAAUUCUGAUUUGAGAAUAUUUUCAUCGAUGUACGCAUAUCAUUGCCCUCUCAAAAAAAAAUGACAGAUCUUCAAUUCCACUAGCAACAAUAUGCAUCAUCAGUCUGAUCAUUUUAUACUAAUUGUUUUUGUGGCUAUCCGGCCAACCAUUUUGUGUGAUCAAAAAAAAAUACCCACCUGUUUCGUGAAUUGUAACAUUUCAAUUCUCGUUAUGUCAAAUGAAACCAAACACAAACGGCAAGCACACAGUAAGCAUUCCAUCAUCACGAAUGAUUUUCUGGCCAUCAUAAUUAAGAGGCUUGCAGAUUCAUGGCAUUUGACAAAAUAAAACACACGUUUCGUAUCACUAAACAAUAAUAUUUACUUUACAUCAUUUCGUAAAUCGGCGCAAAAACUAAAAUUUCGUCAUUCGUAAACAAGCGAAAGAAUAUAAAAAAUGAUCCUCCGAAAUUAAUUCAUAAGACACAAAAAUACAAUCCAUAUUGAAAAUGGUUUGACUUUCGUUUUGACAACGUUUGGAUAGAAUAAAAAAAAAUAUAGUGAUGAAACAUAAAUUUGAUUCAAUUUCAAAACCAGGCUGCAUUUAAUCUCUUUCUCUCUCUUUCUCGUGGGAAAUAAUAAUCUUACCAUGCAAUGGAUGCAUUUUCAUCUAUACAGGCAAAAUCAAUUACUACAUACGUAUUUAAUUUAUAAAUAUGAGUAGUAGCUCAUUAUUAUAGUGAUCGAAAUUUUCCUCCGUAGAAAACCAUUCAUAUCAAAACUGGAACUUCUUAAAGUUAAAAUUACAUACACAGAUAGAAAACGUUCACCGUAAUCACACUUACACAUCCACCAAAUUAACCGUCAAAGAGAUUCAACGUCAUGCAAAUGGGACAACACAAAACGUCGAAGAAACAACAACAACAAAUCCACAGUGUAAUAAUUAAAAAAAAAAAACAUAAACAACUUAUAUAGAACUCUUUUUUUGUACAGCAAUUUCUCUAGUGAUGAUAACAUAUAUUUUUAUUGGUUAAUUUUUAGUGUAUUUUAAGCACUCAAAAAAGGGAAAGAACAAGAUACAACAACCGCAUAGAACUAACAACAAAAAGUGAAGAAAAUUGAAAAUUAAACGUUAAAAAUUAAAAAUAUUUUUUUAGUAAAUAAACAAUAUUUGAAGAGAAAACUCAGUCUUAAUCUCACACACACAAACAAAACAAACCAAAAAAAAAAAUGAUGAAACGAAAAAAAUAUUAUGUCCAAAUCGUUUAAUUAAUAUUCGAAGUAAUUACGUGAGAUAUUCGUUAACAAACAUUUAAAACCACAUAAAAAGCACGAAAGACAGAGAAAAAAAACACACACAAACGAAAACCAUGUAAAAUAACAACAAGAAAAAUGAGACAUAACGCCAAAUUUUUGUUUCUUAAAUGACAACAACCAGCUGGUGCCACUGUGUACCGGAUAAGGAAUAAAACGUAUAACAGUAAAUGAAAUGAAUUACAAACAUACAUACACAAACACACACCUAAUAACAAACUCGAUUCGAUUCAAUUUGAUCAAAUAAAACUAAGAAUAUGAUAAUUUUGCGGGUAUUAAUAUUAAUAUUAAUAAUAAUGAUCUAACUCAGGAGCAAGUGCAAUCGGCAUUUUGCUCGCGGUUUGCCGAGCAAUAUUCCAGUUGUGCGCGCCUCUGUUCAAAAAAAAAAAAAAACAAAACUAUUGAAUUACUAUAUGUGUAAUAUUUAAAAGAAAUUUACAAAAAAAAAAUGAAAAACCAAACAAACGCGUAUUUUUCAAAGAUAAAUUGAACCGAUCUUUGUUUUUUUUUUCUGUUAAAAGAAUAUAACCUUUCGAUAGUAAAAGAUUAAGACGUAAAGUGUUGAAAAUGAGAAAGGGGACAACAACAGCUCUUCAAGAAAAAAAAGUCGCUUCGUUUGAAAAUUUAUUCGUUCGUUUAAACGCAAAAUAAAAUAAAAAAAAAACCAAUAAAAGAAAGAAACAUACCGAAUUAAAGGCGUGCCAAAAACAAAAGAAAAUACAUGCCAAAUGUUUCGAAACCAAAAACUAAUUGUCAAGUAAAGUUGAGUAAACUGCUGGCAGUUUACAUGAAGACAAAUUAUACAAAACAAAUCCACCACCGUCGCACAGCUGAAAUAAAACAAAAAUAAAAACAUCAUCAAACAACAACAAAAUCCAAUCGAUCUGAGCUCUUCAACACAAAUCCGACGAAUUGCCGUGAUUAAAAUGUGCUUCAUUUUUGUGUUCGUUUAUUUCGUUUUUCAUUUCGAUUAUUUUGACCUUUUGAUUUCUCUCGUAGCUCAUUAUGUAACAAAUACUCUCUUUCAAAUGAUUGGCGAGUCAUUUAACAUACAAAACAAAAACUCGUCCUUCUAUAGCUGAAAACAAGAAAAAAAAAAAUUACGAAACAAACAAAAAAAAAUAUUAUCUAGAGAAUGAAAAUAAAACAAUUGUAUAAGAUAUAACUUCUUCUUGAACUCUCUAAAAGACGAGAUGAUAAUAAUAAUUUAAUGACAAAAAAAAUGAAAUGAAUAGCUACAUACUAUGUUUUUGGUAGAUUUUAUAUGAAAAUAUACAAUUAGAUAUUUAUUCUGGACGCAUGUUGUGAACAGAUUUUUAUUUAAGUUUAUGGAAUGAGCAAAGAAAAUACUAGCACUUACAAAUAAUUUCAAAUCACACAAACACGCUCAUACACACUAACGACAACUAUUCAUAAACAUAUGCCUAUUAUUUGUUGAUUGUUAAAGAAAAAAAAAUAUGAGAAAUUUUUUUUUUUAGUAAAAAGUAAAUAAAUGUUGUGUGUAAGAAGUUUGGUCAAUGCUGUAAAUUUGCAGAUAUAUACAUUUAUAUAUAAUAUAUGUGGAAUGGAUCAAAUUGAUUGAAAUUUAUUUUUUUUUUGAUUUCCAUUGGACAUUGGAUGCCCAACACAUCGCAUUCGAAUGCAAUCAAAUCAUGUCUGCCAAUGUGAACAAUUCUCAAAAUAUGAUUUGGAUCACAUAUAUAUUAUAUAUUGACCGAUAGUCGUACACACUCCGGUCACUUCGAUAACAGAAUACCAAAUCGUUCUAUAUGGCACCGGUAAAUGCUAUUGGGCAAAGAAGAAAGCAUAUUUAAAAAAAACUUCUAAUUUGGUACUCGGUUGUUGUUAGUUGUUUUUAAAAAGUCGAAAUUUGAGUAUUUAACUUUUUCCCCCUUAAAAUUUAUACAAAUCAUAUUUCUCGUAUUUGAAGCGGAUCUUGAUGAUAUGUUAUUUGAAAAAUUUACUUCAACAUUUCGCUUUUUACAAAACAAGUAAUGGCAUAGAGUACUACACGCAUGAAUUGAUUAUUUACUAAGAACGUCGUAUACCCGGCGUUUUUUUUUUGUUUCAAGUACACAAAUGUGCGCAAAUUUGGUAUCAAUUCGAUAAAAUAAAACUAAAUGUGCUUAUAUGUUUAAUGAUGAUAAACGAUCCAUAAUAAUAAUAAAAUAAGAAUCCGGAAAAUUUAAUGUCAUGCUGACCAGCUUUCGUUGUGAUACUAAAGUGGCAUGUGGCCACUAUCAUUCUCUGAGCAUUGUUCAAAUGGAAUCAAACUAAAACAAUGUGCACCUGAUUGACGAAUAACACCGAUUUAAAUGUGAAUUAUAGCAAAAAGAAAAGAAGAGAAGAGUAAACAUAAGUUAGUUGCCAAUAAGAUAAACAAUCAUAACAAAAUAUUGGAAUUUCAUGGCGUAUAAAAAUCGAAUGUUUUUUCUCGAUUUAUCCGGAUCCAUCGAAAUUUCAACAAUUUCGCCAUUCGACACACCAUCGAAACUAUCGGAAAGGUUAUCAGGAUGAUGAUACUCCAUUAUCAAUGUUACCAUGGCCGACACGCUAGGCCUACGAAGGCCUACAUUCAUCAUAGUGCCUCUUAUCAUUGUUCCUAUAUCCUUUUUUCAAAGUGAAUAAACACAAUUACCUGAUCUAAGGAAGGGCGAACGACAAACAACAGAACACCAAAGAUAUUUCAAGUUAACAAAGUAUAAUGAAAGUUGUUUGGCACGGCUUAGUUUUUUCGUUUUCAAUCACAUGAAACUCACAAUUAUCGAGCACAAUUGUACCAAAUUUUAUAUUUCGAGCAAUGCGUACUUUGUCGAAGAACAAAAGAAAACGUCGUGGUGCAUAAAUACCCUAUUAUGAAUGUCCAAAAAAGAACAGAACAAAAAUUGUAUAUGUAUUUGUUUAUUUAGUAUUUAACAAAUGAGAAAAUUAUAUUUGAAAAGAAAGAAUUUGUGAAAAAGCAAAAAAAAAUAAAAAAUAAAAAAAAUUAGGAAACACACAGACAUAACAAAUAUGAUUUAGAUCGAUAUAAAUUAGGUUAAACAAAAACAAAUGAUAAAAGUAAUCAAUGCGACUAAGUUUUAAACAAAAAUGGGAUAAAGUGCAACUGAAAAGUAAAAUAAUAAUAAUCUUCAAUAACCAAACCAAAAAAAAAACACGAUCAUGAUUACCACGAUUUUUAAUCCUUUUCUAGACAUAUUUUCUUUUAUACAUUUGAUCGUUUUGUAAUGAAAGAAGAAGAAAAAAAAAAAACCAAAAUGAAAAUAAAAAUUCCAACGUAAACAUGGAUCAUACAGUUUGUAUCACAUAACUUCGUGUACAAUAAUCCCGUAAAAUUUUCUGCAUCUCAACGUCCUCUUUGAUUCGAUCUCAAUCGAAAUACAUACACAAAGGGAAGCAAGGCCAAUGACAUGUUCUAUCACACACACACAUACACACACAAAAAAAAAAACAAAUCGUAUUAUUUCUUGAGUUAAAGCAAUGUCCAAUUUUAAAAUUCUGAUCGAAACAGACGAAAGUUUAAGUAUUUCUUGGACGAUGGAAGUAUGCAUUUGAAAGAGUGGAACCAUUCAGUUAUAAAUCAGUUUUAAUUAAUUAAAAUUAUAUUCUAUUCGCAAGAUUCAAUGAACAGUGUUCAUAGAAGAUAAAAAAGCCAAAAUUCCAAUCAAAACAUCAAUGCAAACACUACACAGACCGUUUUGAAGUAAACUCCUAUCGUACUUCUUAUGUGUUAUCAUUCUUCAAUAAUUCAAAAGAAAGGGCCGAUUGAGUUGUUCCUCCUUACCGGACGAAAACAAAAAUGAACAACAACAACUAAAAUCCAAAAUAACAAAGAGAAAACUGAAAUACAAAACUGUGAUGUGUUAUGCAAAUAAACUAACAUUAGAAUUCAUCUCUCUCUUCAUCUCACUCUUAUAAUUAAUUUGUUUCUCUGGCGUGAUAUUGUACCAAUCCUCUCCUGGCUAUCUAUACAUUAGAUACAAUGAACAAAAAAGAAAGAAAACGUUAUAUAAAUAGCAAAUUAAUUAGGUCAAGUCCAUAAAUUAUUAGAGAGACCAUCCUCAAAUAAAUAACACCAAAGAUGCGAGAGAUGAUGAAGAAACAAUGCAAAAAAAAAACAGGAAGUACGAAUUAAACAGUUAAAAUGAAAAUACAUUGAUAGAUUACGAUAAAUUAUAAAAGUUAAAUAGAUAACGAAGAGAAAAUAAAUACACCGUUUGUGUGGUGGUAACAUGAUAGAUCACAACAUGUAUCAACGUUUGUUUUUGUGUUGUUGUUGAAAAAGUUCAUGAAACAAUCGAAGCAUUCGAGCAUUUUCAUUAUCAUCUUCUUCGUCUAAACAAAUGGCUUUCUUUGUAUUUAGUACACAAAUAUUCUUCAUAUCGUUGAUUUGCUUCGUGCCGAAAAAUGAAUUUGAUAUUCAUUCGGCAUUUCAUCUCUGAUCAGAGUUCCUUCAAAUGGCACAGGUGCCAUAUGAUAUGUCAAUUUCAGCGAAAUGUACAUAUGUGUGUCUAAUUAAAUUCAAUAAAUAAUUUGUACCUGAAUCAACACGAUGAUGAGCAUAUCAUCUACGUUCCAUUAAUCAUUUCUGAUGCACACAUCUACUGGUACACAUUUUAUCACACUGAUGAUAUUAAUAAUUGCCGAAUUAAUUUUCCGCACCAUUCUCAAUUUCCCUUUAUAUCUCUUCUUGGUCUCGUAUACUCCGCCAAAUCGUAACCACAAGAGAAUUGUUUUGUCUCUUCAGCUUCUCUACAAAAUGGAAUAACGGCUUUUAUACUGUUGAACAUAUAAUACCAUGCAUGCGAAAAACUGAAUUCCAAGUUGAAACCGAUGUCUCUCUCAUUGAAUUAUAUAUAUAUAGAUUAUAUAUAAUAUAAAAUAGUUAACAUAUAUAGUUGCCUGAAAUAAGAAUUUAGUAAAGAAUAGGUAUAGGGUGAACUGAGAAAAGCUAAAAAAAAACAAACCAAAAAUAAUGGUGAAUCAAAUAAAAUAAAAGUAAUUUGUCUUUUUUUGUUGGUUCGGCGAAAGAAAAAAAUAAUGAACAGAAUCGUAAUAUGACACAGUAUAACAAAGAAAAAUAUUAAGAAAAUGAAAUAGGGGCUCAUAAAUCAAUGCAGUUUGUUACAAAUUGACUGCCGUAAUUUUUUUCUGUUUUUAUUCCCUUUGACACCGGCACCACGUUGGUCCAACCAAUCAAUUUUUGAAUGGAAUAUUGGUGUUGACACGCACACAGGUCAAUUUGUGGCUAUUUGCAUUGAUUUUUACACAAUAAAAUCAAUAUUUUUUAUUCACCAUACAUCUUUAUUGCCGUUGGAUUAAAAAGCACAACAAAUCGUAUGACACCAAAAUUCGAUUGCAUUUCACAAUUUAUGUACAUGGAGUAAGAAAUAAUGAGAACACAUCCUCAACCAAAAAAAAAAAAAAAAAAAAUACUGUGCUAAAAAAACUUGUAUCGAAAGCAAUCAAAGCAAAUAAAAUAGCAGUGGAUAAAUAAAAACUGCACAAGGGCCGCAAAAAUCGAACCGAAUCAAAUGAGAUAUAUUAACAUUUCGUUGAAAAUAUCUAAUGGGGCGGAUAAAGAUGAAGAAGAAGACGAAGAAUAGUUAACUUGACGUUCAUUUCUGUUGUGAAUUUAAAAAAAAAAAAGACAUUUUUUAUGCCUAUGGCUUUUAUACUCUUACAUAUAUAUUUUAUAGAGAUGUUUUUUAUUUUAAUUUUAUUUUAUGCUUUGCAUUAUGCAAGACGGUUUUUCAAAAGGCAUUAUUGAAAUGUGAAUUUUGCUAGCUUGUAUUUCGUUAAAUACUGGAUAUUUUUGUUUGUCGUUCUUUGAUUUCGUAAUCAUGCGACAUGGAUAUGUUUUAAUCUAGAAAUGUAAGAAACUAUACGCCAUCCGAAAAGAAUGAAGAAAAAAAGAAGUGAAAUUUAAUGAACAAAGAAAAAAAAGAAUGAGAAUUGAGUUCAAUGGGAGAAUUUUCAAAGUGCAAAUAUUGAAUAUAUGAUUGAGAAUGAGCACGUAAUACUUCUUCAUUUACCGAGCAACAACUAAAAAAAUCAAGCAACAAAAAAAUCUCGCAUUGCAAAUCUAUGACUGAAGUAAUUGAUGAUCGGUGUCAUUUAGAAAAAUUAUCUCUUUCUUCUACAAAUACACAUACAAAUGCAAGAGUGUAGAAUUUUCUCAUUUGACUUAGUUUCUGCGGUAGCUUAGUCGCAUUCGAUGUUAGCUAAUCAUAACUAUAUUCUUCUAAACACAUUUAAAUCAUGGUCUUUUGUCAAUUAAAUAUAAAACAAACUGAUACAUCUACACUAGUUGAAGAUUUGAAAAUUCGAUCCCUGCAAACAAACACAAAAAAAAAACCGAAUAAAA